RNAcentral lists this ribosomal RNA (991 nucleotides) under Candida albicans. RNAcentral describes it as "SSU rRNA". It matches the Rfam family "Eukaryotic small subunit ribosomal RNA", at positions 74 to 1086 of the family's 1831-position model. Lineage: Eukaryota; Fungi; Ascomycota; Pichiomycetes; Serinales; Debaryomycetaceae. The record is from RNAcentral.
UUAUACAGUGAAACUGCGAAUGGCUCAUUAAAUCAGUUAUCGUUUAUUUGAUAGUACCUUACUACUUGGAUAACCGUGGUAAUUCUAGAGCUAAUACAUGCUUAAAAUCCCGACUGUUUGGAAGGGAUGUAUUUAUUAGAUAAAAAAUCAAUGCCUUCGGGCUCUUUGAUGAUUCAUAAUAACUUUUCGAAUCGCAUGGCCUUGUGCUGGCGAUGGUUCAUUCAAAUUUCUGCCCUAUCAACUUUCGAUGGUAGGAUAGUGGCCUACCAUGGUUUCAACGGGUAACGGGGAAUAAGGGUUCGAUUCCGGAGAGGGAGCCUGAGAAACGGCUACCACAUCCAAGGAAGGCAGCAGGCGCGCAAAUUACCCAAUCCCGACACGGGGAGGUAGUGACAAUAAAUAACGAUACAGGGCCCUUUUGGGUCUUGUAAUUGGAAUGAGUACAAUGUAAAUACCUUAACGAGGAACAAUUGGAGGGCAAGUCUGGUGCCAGCAGCCGCGGUAAUUCCAGCUCCAAAAGCGUAUAUUAAAGUUGUUGCAGUUAAAAAGCUCGUAGUUGAACCUUGGGCUUGGCUGGCCGGUCCAUCUUUUUGAUGCGUACUGGACCCAGCCGAGCCUUUCCUUCUGGGUAGCCAUUUAUGGCGAACCAGGACUUUUACUUUGAAAAAAUUAGAGUGUUCAAAGCAGGCCUUUGCUCGAAUAUAUUAGCAUGGAAUAAUAGAAUAGGACGUUAUGGUUCUAUUUUGUUGGUUUCUAGGACCAUCGUAAUGAUUAAUAGGGACGGUCGGGGGUAUCAGUAUUCAGUUGUCAGAGGUGAAAUUCUUGGAUUUACUGAAGACUAACUACUGCGAAAGCAUUUACCAAGGACGUUUUCAUUAAUCAAGAACGAAAGUUAGGGGAUCGAAGAUGAUCAGAUACCGUCGUAGUCUUAACCAUAAACUAUGCCGACUAGGGAUCGGUUGUGUGUCUUUUUUAUUGACGCAAUCGGCAC